RNAcentral lists this ribosomal RNA (403 nucleotides) under uncultured bacterium. Its description in RNAcentral is "partial 16S ribosomal RNA". It matches the Rfam family "Bacterial small subunit ribosomal RNA", at positions 28 to 526 of the family's 1533-position model. The record is from RNAcentral.
GACGAACGCUGGCGGCGUGCCUAAUACAUGCAAGUCGAACGCAGUGGGGACGGGUGAGUAACACGUGGGUAACCUCCCAUCAGAGGGGAUAACACUUGGAAACAGGUGCUAAACCGAUACUGAUGGAUGGACCCGCGGUGCAUUCGCUAGUUGGUGAGGUAACGGCUCACCAGGGCCACGAUGCAUAGCCGUCCUGCGAGGGUGAUCGGCCACACUGGGACGAAGACACGGCCCAGACUCCUACGGGUGGCAGCAGUGGUGAAUCUUCGGCAUGGGACGAAAGUCUGACCAAGAAAUGCCGCGGGUGGGAAGAAGGUUUUCGGAUCGUAAAACUCUGUUGUUAGAGAAGCGGUAUCUAACCAGAAAGCCACGGCUAACUACGUGCCAGCAGCCGCGGUAAUUC